RNAcentral lists this long non-coding RNA (1412 nucleotides) under Gossypium barbadense (sea-island cotton). RNAcentral's name for it is "long non-coding RNA (GBAR_LNC003749)". Lineage: Eukaryota; Viridiplantae; Streptophyta; Magnoliopsida; Malvales; Malvaceae. The record is from RNAcentral.
UUGGACAUCACUAGCCUUUGUCCUUUCAUAUCCACCGCCCUGCUUUUAUGAUAGCAUUUCCCAAUGAAAUCUUUUAUCUACCAAUAUCCUCUUAAAAUCUUCUUGAAUUUUCUUCGUCUGACUCUCUUGAUCUCAGUCUCUCCCUCUUCUGAUGAGUAUACCUUAGAUGCAGUCCCAACAGUCGUCCUUCUUCUUCUCACAACAUUUCUUUAUCAAAAAAUGGGCAUUCUUGAAUCUCCUGUGUCUGGUUCUCUUGACCUCCGUGGCUCCCUCUCCUGAUGAAUAUGCAUUGGAUGCAGCCCCAACAGGUAAUGCCCUUCUCAUCUUCUCAGUGCUUCUUUAGCAACAAAAUGGGUAGUCUCAUUUUCUGUUUCAGGAAUGAAAUGAAACCCGAUAUUCUGAAAAAAAAAAACUUUUUUGCUAUGGGAUAUCUCUGAUUAUCGCCCUUAUAAUCGAUUUAUCUUGGUUUAUGGUUUGACAUUUCUUAAUCACUAUUCUUGAGUCUCUUUUUAUAUUCAGAAUAUUCAAUCCCAUUGUAAUACUUGACUUAAAGGCCACAAUCUCCCCCUCCGUAUUGCAAACAACUAAACCCAAAGCAGAUUUGGAGGUUCUCUUAUCAAAAGCCGCAUCAAAAUAAACUAUCACCCUCGUGCUUCUUUCCAUCUGCUUAUGACCUCUGUCAAUGUUGGUAAAAAGUCUUUUUUCCUCUACUCCAUUUAACUCUGCUGUAGAACUGAUGACUUGUUUAGAAAUAUCCCUACCUGUUGUAAUCUUCUCUUAUAGAUGAAUCUAUUUCUAUGGUUCCAGAUUAACCAUAGCCCACCGCAAAAAAGGCGACACUGGUCUCUGUUUCCCUGCCUAAAAACCCAAAUAAGCCACUCCCAUAAGCUUUGAAUGUUAUUAUUGUAUACCCAUGCAAAAUCUAAAUUUGAGCAUACUUCUGUUGUUGUAGGACAGUACCUAAAAAUGUGGUUACUAUCUUCAUCGGAAGUGUGACAUCGGGGACAAAGAGUUUCAGCUGCAGCUUUUUUAAUCUUUAGUUUAGAUAGAGUAGGAAUAUAAUUCCAAGAAAUUCUCCAAAUUUUAAUUUUAAUUUUUGGAGGGAUUUGUAAAUUCCAUAAUUUUCUAUAGAAGUUUCUAAUCUCGGUCUAUAUAAAACUAUUAUUAGGACCCGAAUUAGUCUUAUAGGCACUUCUGACUGAAUACUCGCCUGACGGUUCUCCUCUCCAUACUUUGGAAGUCCUCGUAGAUUAUCUCUGCCAAGGGGAUCUGCAGAAUUUUCUUAGCAGUAUCCUCAUUGAAGGUACUUAAAACUAAAUCUGUAUUCCACUUUCUAUUAUUAGCAUCUAUCAAAUCUAAUUCUAACUUAAUAUUCUCAUUGGUGGUUUCAUUAUGCAAUCUAUCAUUUUCAG